Molecule: ribosomal RNA, 252 nt
Filed under: uncultured Bacteroidales bacterium
Lineage: Bacteria; Pseudomonadati; Bacteroidota; Bacteroidia; Bacteroidales
Description: partial 16S ribosomal RNA
Rfam family: Bacterial small subunit ribosomal RNA
Source: RNAcentral
UACGGGGGAUGCGAGCGUUAUCCGGAUUUAUUGGGUUUAAAGGGUGCGCAGGCGGCCUGUUAAGUCAGCGGUAAAAGCCCGGGGCUCAACCCCGUCGAGCCGUUGAAACUGGUUUUCUUGAGUGGGCGAGAGGUAUGCGGAAUGCGUGGUGUAGCGGUGAAAUGCAUAGAUAUCACGCAGAACUCCGAUUGCGAAGGCAGCAUACCGGCGCCCAACUGACGCUGAAGCACGAAAGUGCGGGGAUCGAACAGG